RNAcentral lists this ribosomal RNA (492 nucleotides) under uncultured bacterium. Its description in RNAcentral is "partial 16S ribosomal RNA". It matches the Rfam family "Bacterial small subunit ribosomal RNA", at positions 29 to 507 of the family's 1533-position model. The record is from RNAcentral.
AGUGAACGCUGGCGGUAGGCCUAACACAUGCAAGUCGAACGGCAGCACAGUAAGAGCUUGCUCUUACGGGUGGCGAGUGGCGGACGGGUGAGGAAUACAUCGGAAUCUACUUUUUCGUGGGGGAUAACGUAGGGAAACUUACGCUAAUACAGCAUACGACCUACGGGUGAAAGCAGGGGAUAUUCGGACCUUGCGCGAUUGAAUGAGCCGAUGUCGGAUUAGCUAGUUGGCGGGGUAAAGGCCCACCAAGGCGACGAUCCGUAGCUGGUCUGAGAGGAUGAUCGGCCACACUGGAACUGAGACACGGUCCAGACUCCUACGGGAGGCAGCAGUGGGGAAUAUUGGACAAUGGGCGCAAGCCUGAUCCAGCCAUACCGCGUGGGUGAAGAAGGCCUUCGGGUUGUAAAGCCCUUUUGUUGGGAAAGAAAAGCAGCAGGUUAAUACCCCGCUGUUCUGACGGUACCCAAAGAAUAAGCACCGGCUGACUUCGUG